AACGAACGCUGGCGGCAUGCCUAACACAUGCAAGUCGAACGAGACCUUCGGGUCUAGUGGCGCACGGGUGCGUAACGCGUGGGAACCUGCCCUUAGGUUCGGAAUAACUCCCCGAAAGGGGUGCUAAUACCGGAUAAUGUCUUCGGACCAAAGAUUUAUCGCCUUUGGAUGGGCCCGCGUUGGAUUAGCUAGUUGGUAGGGUAAAAGCCUACCAAGGCGACGAUCCAUAGCUGGUCUGAGAGGAUGAUCAGCCACACUGGGACUGAGACACGGCCCAGACUCCUACGGGAGGCAGCAGUGGGGAAUAUUGGACAAUGGGCGAAAGCCUGACACAGCAAUGCCGCGUGAGUGAUGAAGGCCUUAGGGUUGUAAAGCUCUUUUACCCGGGAUGAUAAUGACAGUACCGGGAGAAUAAGCUCCGGCUAACUCCGUG
This 433-nucleotide ribosomal RNA is filed under the name uncultured bacterium. Its description in RNAcentral is "partial 16S ribosomal RNA". It matches the Rfam family "Bacterial small subunit ribosomal RNA", at positions 29 to 507 of the family's 1533-position model. The record is from RNAcentral.